UGAUAAGUUUAUUACAACUAAUAUGAUCGUACUAACUAUAUAAACAUGUGUAUUCACAAUGUGGCUGAUAUGGCAGGGAGAAAGUCUGAUCUUCGGUAGCUACAACAGCAUUUAAACCCAGCGGGUCGUCGACACACGGAACUGGAAGCUACAAAACAUGGGGGGAAAAGUCCUACGUUAAAAUUCCUGUGAGGUUAAAACAACAUUUGUGCGCUUUAAUGUGACCUUAAUUGUUCUGUGUUAUUAAUGAAUAAAAUCUAGGUCUUUUCAUGGAGAAAAAGACCUACAUUAAAAUUUCUAUCUGGGAAUAAAACACUGUUGGUGUUUUUAAUGCUAACUUCAUUUAUUAGAAUGAAAAUAAGAAAAAAAAUAAUAAAUAGAAGUACAAAAGGAAACUUACCGGUAGCUGACUUCUCAGCGGGAAUUCCUCAUUUCCGUAAACCUCCACGGCGUUUUCAGGCACCGGGUCGUCCACACACUGAACUGGAAGCUACAAAACACAGAGAAAAAAGACCUACGUUAAAAUUCCUGUGUGGGAGUAAUACACUGUUGGUGUUAAUAACGCUACCGGCAUUUAUUAGAAUGAAAAUGAGAAAAAUAGAAAAGAGAGAGAGGAAUAAGGAAACUUACUGGGAUUUGAGAUCUGGGAUUUGAAAUGGGGAAAAUGUCGUUCUCAUAAAUAACCACGCCAUUUAAUCCAGCCUGGUCGUCCACACACUGAACUGGAAACUGCAGAACACAGAGAAAUAAGACCUACAUGUAGUGUUUAGUGACAUGUUUAUAAUACAGAAGAAUGACUAAUGUUACAGUAUGUUUGUGAAAAAGAAAAUUGACACAAAAGCUUCAUAUAGUUGUUCAUUAUUAACGGAAAUAUUUAACAUUUGCUAUUCGUCAAGCGAGUUCAAGACGUCAAUUAGUUUAAGCUUUGACUUCAUCACACAGGAUUCUUCUCUUGGUCGACAGGCCUCAACCUGAAUCUGCGUCAGUAUUAAGUAAACGGUAAAUGGCGCACAUAUAGCGUUUUUAUCCAAAGCGCUUUACACUGGUUCUCAUUCACACAUUCACACACACACCAGUGGUAGCAGAGCUGCCAUGCAAGGCGCUAACUUGCCAUCGGGAGCAACUCGGGGUUCAGCGUCUUACCCAAGCAGUAGUAGUUUCCUUUCUCAAACAGGUCACUGGUCAGUACCCAGAAUGCAAUAGGAGGCACGUGACUGGAGCACAAAUCAAUUAACAGCCCCAUUUUGUUUUAAAAGAGCAGCCAUUACAAAAGGAAUCUUACUGGUAGCAGAUUUCUCUUCUGGAAUUCCUCGUUUCCGUAAACCUCCACGGCGUUUUCA
Ictalurus punctatus (channel catfish) is the source of this 1340-nucleotide long non-coding RNA. Lineage: Eukaryota; Metazoa; Chordata; Actinopteri; Siluriformes; Ictaluridae. The record is from Ensembl.